GACGAACGCUGGCGGCGUGCUUAACACGUGCAAGUCGAACGGAAAGGCCCUGCUUUUGUGGGGUGCUCGAGUGGCGAACGGGUGAGUAACACGUGAGUAACCUGCCCUUGACUUUGGGAUAACUUCAGGAAACUGGGGCUAAUACCGGAUAGGAGCUCCUGCUGCAUGGUGGGGGUUGGAAAGUUUCGGCGGUUGGGGAUGGACUCGCGGCUUAUCAGCUUGUUGGUGGGGUAGUGGCUUACCAAGGCUUUGACGGGUAGCCGGCCUGAGAGGGUGACCGGCCACAUUGGGACUGAGAUACGGCCCAGACUCCUACGGGAGGCAGCAGUGGGGAAUAUUGCACAAUGGGCGGAAGCCUUAUGCAGCAACGCCGCGUGCGGGAUGACGGCCUUCGGGUUGUAAACCGCUUUCGCCUGUGACGAAGCGUGAGUGACGGUAAUGGGUAAAGAAGCACCGGCUAACUACGUG
Molecule: ribosomal RNA, 468 nt
Filed under: uncultured bacterium
Lineage: Bacteria
Description: partial 16S ribosomal RNA
Rfam family: Bacterial small subunit ribosomal RNA
Source: RNAcentral